This 72-nucleotide transfer RNA is filed under the name Camelus bactrianus (Bactrian camel). It matches the Rfam family "tRNA". From Rfam's summary of the family: Transfer RNA (tRNA) molecules are approximately 80 nucleotides in length. Their secondary structure includes four short double-helical elements and three loops (D, anti-codon, and T loops). RNAcentral also lists the same sequence under 2 other names. The record is from Rfam by way of RNAcentral. Lineage: Eukaryota; Metazoa; Chordata; Mammalia; Artiodactyla; Camelidae.
GAGGGUAUAGCUCAGUGGUAGACUGCAUGCUUAGCAUGCACAAGGUUCUGGGUUCAAUCCCCAGUGCCUCUG